This 253-nucleotide ribosomal RNA is filed under the name uncultured bacterium. RNAcentral's name for it is "partial 16S ribosomal RNA". It matches the Rfam family "Bacterial small subunit ribosomal RNA", at positions 524 to 776 of the family's 1533-position model. The record is from RNAcentral.
UACGAAGGGGGCUAGCGUUGUUCGGAAUUACUGGGCGUAAAGCGCACGUAGGCGGACUAUUAAGUCAGGGGUGAAAUCCCGGGGCUCAACCCCGGAACUGCCUUUGAUACUGGUAGUCUCGAGUCCGGAAGAGGUGAGUGGAAUUCCGAGUGUAGAGGUGAAAUUCGUAGAUAUUCGCAAGAACACCAGUGGCGAAGGCGGCUUACUGGUCCGGUUCUGACGCUGAGGCGCGAAAGCGUGGGGAGCAAACAGG